AGGGCGCCGCGGAGGAUGCGUCUGUCCGGGAGGGGCAGCCCCGGGAGCCCCCCUGUGCCCUCCUCCAAUCCCAGCCUCACAGGGGGCCCUCUCCCGGGGAGCCCUCUUCCCUGGGAGCCUCGGCGGCGGCCCAGACGCACCCAGCGGAAUCCCGGCGAGGAAGGUGGCGCAGUGCAGCGUCCCGGACGAGGAGGCAAAGAACAUGCGGGCGUCGCGGAGGAGGUGCGGGGCGCGCUCGCUCAGGCAGUGGGUCACCCCGACGUGGUAGAAAACUAGGAAGCCGCUGCCCACGAAGGACAGGCUCCAGCCGCGCCCAGGGUCGUACAUGGCGGAGGCAGUUAUCUGGAGGUUCCAUGAGAUCCCAUCAUAUUUCUUGCCAGCAUGGACUGCAGACUUGUACCAGGUAUGAACCCACUCUAGAUGGGAUCCCUUGAAGAUGAUGUUUGGGCAGUCAUCUGGGUCACUGGAGAAAUUCAGACACAGAGAGACAAAGCCACGGGGAGGAACUGGAAGCUGGAAGUCAGCAGGAACCCAGAAGAGAAAGGAGAGGCCACAACCAUGUCACAGCAAAGCCAAAGAACCCACUGGAACAUUAGCAACUCCAGGAGGAAGCAAGCCUUUCUGCCUCCAACACCUUGAACCAAUAAGUUCCUGUUGUUUAAUCCAUUUUGUAGUAUUUGGCAUAGCAGCCAAGAAACUAAGACACAGAGGACAAAUAAUGCAAAAGGAAAACUGAGAGAACUUGGUGGAAGGACACUGGGUUGGGGCUGCAGCAGGUCUAGCCUGGGUGGUGAGUGAGGGUUCCUCAGAGUAUGUGACCUUGCAGUUGAGAACUGCAGGGUCAGGGGGAGGAGCAUUGCAGACUAAGCCUGUCAGGAGGAAGCAGAUAUGAGCUGGAUACAGGAACAAAUAAAAAGUUGGCAACUUCAAGGAUCAGAGGAAAGGCCCAGUGGACUGGAAGAUGGAGAGAGGAGGGGAAGAUGGAGGGAGUGUGUAAGGAAAGGGGCUGGGCAAGACCCCCAGAGGCUUGGGAGGGUGUCCUACAGAGUCUAGCUUUUAUUCUGGUUGUAAUGGGAAGCCCUGGGGAAUUUAGGCAGGGGAGUGACAUGGUCUGAUUCACAUAUUAGAAAGAUCUGGACUCCAAAGCAUGAAUAGAAUUCAGCAGGUCCUGGACCUGGAUGGAAAAGAAUGACAUCUUCAUUUUCAUGGCCCCUACCUGCAAUUUAGUCUUUCCUUCAAAUACAAAUGUAGGCAACAAAGCACAGUGGUAUGCAAAGCACCUGUGACUUGUUAUUAAUAGAAAUCACAGGCAUAUUUAUAUCACAUUACAGUUGUAGACCAUGAGAUGUUUUAUGCUUAUCACUUUGAAAUUAUGAUGUCUUAUUAUAUCUACUGUUGAUCCUAUCUAACACAUAAACAAAGAAGUACAUCUACUAUUGUAUUACAAUUAAAAACGUUUUGAUA
Molecule: long non-coding RNA, 1464 nt
Organism: Choloepus didactylus (southern two-toed sloth)
Lineage: Eukaryota; Metazoa; Chordata; Mammalia; Pilosa; Megalonychidae
Exons: 3
Source: RefSeq, a predicted model, not a curated record